Molecule: long non-coding RNA, 319 nt
Organism: Oryzias latipes (Japanese medaka)
Lineage: Eukaryota; Metazoa; Chordata; Actinopteri; Beloniformes; Adrianichthyidae
Source: RefSeq, a predicted model, not a curated record
CCACAAUGCAAUGCGUGUGAACCACAAUUCAUUGCGUUUGAAUUAUUCGAAGAUAGCUGCCGGUUGCGCAAGGAAAACAACCGAAACAUAGUCAUGUCGGACACAGUUGGAGUUGAAAGGAAAGCAGAGAUUUGUCCUCGCAGAUGGACGCCACUUUGCUCGUCCUGCUGGUUCCUGGUGUUGCCCUUUGUGGCUCAACAUCUGCGGCUCCCAGCAGUCCCCUUCACAGAUGCACACAUUGUGCAGGAUGGUGCUGCAGGCAAUGAUUUUCAUUGCAAAGAGCGUGCCCUGGUUGUAACGGGCCUCAAUGGCAUUCCUC